UGGGGAAUCUUAGACAAUGGGCGCAAGCCUGAUCUAGCCAUGCCGCGUGAGUGAAGAAGGCCUUAGGGUCGUAAAGCUCUUUCGCCAGGGAUGAUAAUGACAGUACCUGGUAAAGAAACCCCGGCUAACUCCGUGCCAGCAGCCGCGGUAAUACGGAGGGGGUUAGCGUUGUUCGGAAUUACUGGGCGUAAAGCGCACGUAGGCGGAUUAGAAAGUUAGAGGUGAAAUCCCAGGGCUCAACCCUGGAACUGCCUUUAAAACUCCUAGUCUUGAGUUCGAGAGAGGUGAGUGGAAUUCCAAGUGUAGAGGUGAAAUUCGUAGAUAUUUGGAGGAACACCAGUGGCGAAGGCGGCUCACUGGCUCGAUACUGACGCUGAGGUGCGAAAGUGUGGGGAGCAAACAGGAUUAGAUACCCUGGUAGUCCACACCGUAAACGAUGAAUGCCAGUCGUCGGGUAGUAUACUAUUCGGUGACACACCUAACGGAUUAAGCAUUCCGCCUGGGGAGUACGGUCGCAAGAUUA
This 523-nucleotide ribosomal RNA is filed under the name uncultured bacterium. RNAcentral describes it as "bacterial SSU rRNA". It matches the Rfam family "Bacterial small subunit ribosomal RNA", at positions 355 to 896 of the family's 1533-position model. RNAcentral also lists the same sequence under 1 other name. The record is from RNAcentral.